AAAUACAAUAUAUUGAUAAAAAAAUCAAACAAAAUACUCUUCUAUCAACAAAAAUUCUUGUUGUCCUAAUUUCUAAACCACAAUCCCAAAUGUACAAUAUUUAUCUACAAAAAUGAAAACUUUCCUAAAAUAGAAUUUUUGAAAAAAUUAUUUAAAAAAUACAAUAUAUUGAUAAAAAAAUCAAACAAAAUACUCUUCUAUCAACAAGAAUUCUUGUUGUCCUAAUUUCUAAACCACAAUCCCAAAUGUACAAUAUUUCUCUACAAAAAAUAAAAACUUUCCUAAAAUAGAAUUUUUGAGAAUUUUAUUUUUAAAAUACAACCUUUUGAUCAAAAAAUCUAAAAGAGUACUCUUCUAUCAAC
This 362-nucleotide long non-coding RNA is filed under the name Brassica rapa (field mustard). RNAcentral describes it as "long non-coding RNA (BRAP_LNC008470)". The record is from RNAcentral. Lineage: Eukaryota; Viridiplantae; Streptophyta; Magnoliopsida; Brassicales; Brassicaceae.